This 253-nucleotide ribosomal RNA is filed under the name uncultured bacterium. Its description in RNAcentral is "partial 16S ribosomal RNA". It matches the Rfam family "Bacterial small subunit ribosomal RNA", at positions 524 to 776 of the family's 1533-position model. The record is from RNAcentral.
UACGAAGGGGGCUAGCGUUAAUCGGAAUUACUGGGCGUAAAGCGUGCGCAGGCGGUUUUGUAAGCCAGAUGUGAAAGCCCCGGGCUUAACCUGGGAAUGGCAUUUGGGACUGCAAGGCUUGAGUGCGGCAGAGGAGACUGGAAUUCAUGGUGUAGCAGUGAAAUGCGUAGAGAUCAUGAGGAAGACCAGUGGCGAAGGCGGGUCUCUGGACAGUUCCUGACACUGAGGCACGAAGGCUAGGGGAGCAAACGGG